Molecule: long non-coding RNA, 300 nt
Filed under: Hordeum vulgare
Lineage: Eukaryota; Viridiplantae; Streptophyta; Magnoliopsida; Poales; Poaceae
Description: long non-coding RNA (HVUL_LNC008386)
Source: RNAcentral
CAUGAGGCUAAAUUAGCAACGCUGCAACAGGAAAGAUGGAGAUGCAGAUCCGCCCCUGGCUGCACCUGCACCUCGGUCAAGUGGCAGAUGGGCAUGCCCGGCAUGGGCAAUGGCUUUGUGGGUUUCAACCGCUCGCUCUUGAGGUCAAAAGACAUUAUUUUCGCCUGAGAUCCCUCCGUUACCCAGUACGAGGCCCCGUUUACGCUGACGACACCGGCGUCCAGCCUGCAUUUCGUGCUAGGCGUUGGGACCUCUCUCCACGAGGCCUCCCCUACCGUGAACACUUGCACCGUCUCCUUG